AUCUUAUCGAGAGAAGCUGAGGGUCCUGGCCCUAUGAAGCUUCAGCAACCUUCAACUUUGUUGAAAAGGUGCUAAUUCCAGCAAGUUUUCAAAAACUUGGCAGAUAAGAA
RNAcentral lists this non-coding RNA (110 nucleotides) under Mesobacillus subterraneus. RNAcentral describes it as "Bacillus subterraneus SAM-I sequence". It matches the Rfam family "SAM riboswitch aptamer (S box leader)". From Rfam's summary of the family: The SAM riboswitch is found upstream of a number of genes which code for proteins involved in methionine or cysteine biosynthesis in Gram-positive bacteria. The SAM riboswitch acts at the level of transcription termination control. The predicted structure consists of a complex stem-loop region followed by a single stem loop terminator region. The record is from Rfam by way of RNAcentral. Lineage: Bacteria; Bacillati; Bacillota; Bacilli; Caryophanales; Bacillaceae.